UUGAUAACCUUUUUGCUGCCGCCGCUUCACCCGGUCCUGUUUAUGAUGUCACUCCACUCGCGACGUUCCCGCCAAUAUCAACAGGCCCUAAGCAUGUAUUGAUGAUACAAUAGAGGAGGCACAGGUUGAAGUCAGCAGCGGGCAAGGCCAUGAUCAGAAGCAUCCUACACUUAAGAGAGCUGCACCGACCGAAUCAACCGCAACAAAGUUGCCAAAAAUGAAGAAGAAAAAAAUUGAUGCAAUGGAUGAUGCGAUAUACCAGAGGUACUGUUGUACCAAUUAUAAGAUAAAGGACCCACCCCGAGGCGAGCCACUCCCUUCGUUCAUAAGGAUAGGUGGUUUCGAUAUUUCAUUCAAACAUUUCAGCAACGGGCUCAAAAAGCGGGCUCAUGUGAACAAUGAGGUGAUGUCACUCUAUAUUGAAAGUUUCAACAUUGAGCACAUGUACAGUUCAAGCAAGCCAAGGAA
Molecule: long non-coding RNA, 468 nt
Organism: Hordeum vulgare subsp. vulgare (domesticated barley)
Lineage: Eukaryota; Viridiplantae; Streptophyta; Magnoliopsida; Poales; Poaceae
Exons: 3
Source: RefSeq, a predicted model, not a curated record